GAGUUGAUCCUGGCUCAGAAUCAACGCUGGCGGCGCGCUUAACACAUGCAUGUCGAACGAGAAAGUCCCUUCGGGGAUAAGUAAAGUGGCGUACGGGUGAGUAACACGUGGGUCAUCUGCCCUCUGGUGGGGAAUAACUCUGGGAAACUAGAGCUAAUACCGCAUGAGCCCGCAAGGGGAAAGUCGCAAGACGCCAGGGGAUGAGCCCGCGGCCGAUUAGCUAGUUGGCAGGGUAAAGGCCUACCAAGGCGACGAUCGGUAGCCGGCCUGAGAGGGCGCACGGCCACACUGGCACUGAAACACGGGCCAGACUCCUACGGGAGGCAGCAGUGGGGAAUCUUGCACAAUGGGGGAAACCCUGAUGCAGCGACGCCGCGUGAGCGAUGAAGCCCUUCGGGGUGUAAAGCUCUUUCAGCAGGGACGAUAAUGACGGUACCUGCAGAAGCAGCUGCGGCUAACUACGUGCCAGCAGCCGCGGUAAUACGUAGGCAGCAAGCGUUGUUCGGAGUUACUGGGCGUAAAGCGUGUGUAGGCGGUUCUGUAAGUCUGGUGUGAAAUCUCCCGGCUCAACCGGGAGGGUGCGCUAGAAACUGCAGUGCUAGAGUGCGGGAGAGGAGAGCGGAAUUCCUGGUGUAGCGGUGAAAUGCGUAGAUAUCAGGAGGAACACCCGUGGUGAAGACGGCUCUCUGGACCGUGACUGACGCUGAGACACGAAAGCGUGGGGAGCAAACAGGAUUAGAUACCCUGGUAGUCCACGC
This 758-nucleotide ribosomal RNA is filed under the name uncultured bacterium. Its description in RNAcentral is "bacterial SSU rRNA". It matches the Rfam family "Bacterial small subunit ribosomal RNA", at positions 9 to 800 of the family's 1533-position model. The record is from RNAcentral.